UACGGGGGGAGCAAGCGUUGUUCGGAUUUACUGGGCGUAAAGGGCGCGUAGGCGGCCACCGCAAGUCGACUGUGAAAUCUCCGGGCUUAACCCGGAAAGGUCAGCCGAUACUGCGGGGCUAGAGUGCAGAAGGGGCAACUGGAAUUCUCGGUGUAGCGGUGAAAUGCGUAGAUAUCGAGAGGAACACCUGCGGCGAAGGCGGGUUGCUGGGCUGACACUGACGCUGAUGUGCGAAAGCUAGGGGAGCGAGCGGG
RNAcentral lists this ribosomal RNA (254 nucleotides) under uncultured bacterium. RNAcentral's name for it is "partial 16S ribosomal RNA". It matches the Rfam family "Bacterial small subunit ribosomal RNA", at positions 524 to 776 of the family's 1533-position model. The record is from RNAcentral.